GAGAGCGAGGCGGGCGGGAAAUCCCCUCUUGUCAGUGUCAGCGGCGCCGGGCGGUAGCACUCUGCGAGGCGGGUGAUGCACAGGAUGUGUCGCACAGGGCGGCAGGGGCGAAGGAAGCCGGUUGGCGUGAGGUUGUCAAGAACACGGAGCAUAGCUCCGCCUCCUGAGAUCCAUGAAGCCACUCCCUGUGUUCUGAUUGGCCCGCAUCUAUCUCAAUAUUAAAGUAAUGGUGACCAUCGAUGGUCAAAACCAUCAAAGGUUCUCUAA
This is a long non-coding RNA of Pseudophryne corroboree (corroboree frog), 267 nucleotides long. RefSeq lists it as uncharacterized. Lineage: Eukaryota; Metazoa; Chordata; Amphibia; Anura; Myobatrachidae. The record is from RefSeq and is a predicted model, not a curated record. The transcript has 2 exons.